AGUAUAGUACUUUGGCAUCAAGGAACUAUUAAAGUCACAACGGCAAAAGAUGAGCAUGCGUCCCAUUAGCUAGUUGGUAAGGUAACGGCUUACCAAGGCUACGAUGGGUAGGGGUCCUGAGAGGGAGAUCCCCCACACUGGUACUGAGACACGGACCAGACUCCUACGGGAGGCAGCAGUGAGGAAUAUUGGACAAUGGGCGCAAGCCUGAUCCAGUCAUGCCGCGUGCAGGAUGACGGUCCUAUGGAUUGUAAACUGCUUUUGUACAGGAAGAAACACUACUUCGUGAAGUAGCUUGACGGUACUGUAGGAAUAAGGAUCGGCUAACUCCGUG
This 334-nucleotide ribosomal RNA is filed under the name uncultured bacterium. RNAcentral describes it as "bacterial SSU rRNA". It matches the Rfam family "Bacterial small subunit ribosomal RNA", at positions 173 to 507 of the family's 1533-position model. The record is from RNAcentral.